AUUUUACUUAUAAAUGGACUUAGUUUUUUUCAGUUAACAUUACAUACAGUCUGCAGUUAAAGUUUAUAAAACAUUUAUUAGAUUCAUAAACUAUCCUUGAUUUUUUUACCAAACUUGGAAGCUUCUUUCAAUCAAAAGACAGUAUCGAGAGGGAAAUUUUUAUUGAUGUUUUUCCUCAUUUUUGUUGAGUCUGCAAUUAACAGCAAAAGUAGGCGAGACACUGGGUUCCGUGGAACCCUUACGAAUUUUUUUUUAAUUUUUUUUUUUUUAAUUAUUUUUAGUCAUUAUAUAGUAAUAUAGUGUAAAUAGUGAACACCUGUUGAAAACCCAAGA
RNAcentral lists this long non-coding RNA (333 nucleotides) under Mytilus galloprovincialis (Mediterranean mussel). Lineage: Eukaryota; Metazoa; Mollusca; Bivalvia; Mytilida; Mytilidae. The record is from RNAcentral.